GACGAACGCUGGCGGCGUGCUUAACACAUGCAAGUCGAACGGGUCUGCCCUGUUUUUUGCGGGGUGGGUCAGUGGCGAACGGGUGAGUAACACGUGAGUAACCUGCCCCUCACUUCUGGAUAACCGCUUGAAAGGGUGGCUAAUACGGGGUGUUCUGGCUGUGCCGCAUGGUGUGGCUGGGAAAGAUUCACUUUUGUGGUGUUUUGGCGGGGGAUGGGCUCGCGGCCUAUCAGCUUGUUGGUGGGGUGAUGGCCUGCCAAGGCUUUGACGGGUAGCCGGCCUGAGAGGGUGGGCGGUCACACUGGGACUGAGAUACGGCCCAGACUCCUGCGGGAGGCAGCAGUGGGGGGUAUUGCACAAUGGGCGGAAGCCUGAUGCAGCGACGUCGCGUGAGGGAUGGAGGCCUUCGGGUUGUGAACCUCUUUCGCCGGUGAAGAAGGUCCUGCUCUUUGUGGUGGGGUUGACGGUAGCCGGGUUAUGAAGCGCCGGCUAACUACGUG
RNAcentral lists this ribosomal RNA (500 nucleotides) under uncultured bacterium. RNAcentral's name for it is "partial 16S ribosomal RNA". It matches the Rfam family "Bacterial small subunit ribosomal RNA", at positions 28 to 507 of the family's 1533-position model. The record is from RNAcentral.